GCUUGUCUCAAAGAUUAAGCCAUGCAUGUCUAAGUAUAAAUAACUACACAGUAAAACUGCGAAUGGCUCAUUAAAACAGUUAUAGUUUAUUUGAUACAUUAAAUGGAUAACUGUAGAAAAACUAGAGCUAAUACAUGCCAAGACCGAAAGGUUGUAUUUAUUAGAUAUACCAAGUGGGUGAAUCAUAAUAACUUCGCAAAUCGCGGCAUCGCUGCGAUAAAUCAUUCAAGUUUCUGCCCUAUCAUGCUUUCGAUGGUAGUGUAUUGGACUACCAUGGCUCUCACGGGUAACGGGGAAUUAGGGUUCGAUUCCGGAGAGGGAGCCUGAGAAAUGGCUACCACAUCCAAGGAAGGCAGCAGG
This 360-nucleotide ribosomal RNA is filed under the name Spathidium foissneri. RNAcentral describes it as "partial small subunit ribosomal RNA". It matches the Rfam family "Eukaryotic small subunit ribosomal RNA", at positions 30 to 432 of the family's 1831-position model. The record is from RNAcentral. Lineage: Eukaryota; Ciliophora; Litostomatea; Haptorida; Spathidiidae.